CUAGACAUCCGCGUUGCCUCCCAUACUUCUCAAAUUGUCCGCCUAUGGGUCUAGUUUUUCAGACAUAUACCAUCAUGCUCAUGGGACUUUUAUACUGAACUCCAUGUUGAAGUGAGCUUGUUCGAAGGCAUCAACGAUUUGCCGGCGAGAAGCGCACGCAGUUGCAUCUUCAUGAAACUAGGGUGGGGAUAAUGAAUUAAACCAGCACGUACAUUGAUACAUUCAGUUUGCGGUCUGGUCUGUCAUAUUUAGGAGUUAACUGUAAGACUAUAUUGUGCUUUUCCAUAAUAUUAUCUGUUUGUUAAGUAACAUUUCGCGAAGAUGUCUGUGGUAGGAUUCGACGUCGGGUUUCUGAACUGCUAUGUUGCGGUAGCUAGAGCCGGAGGAAUAGAAACUGUAGCCAAUGAAUACAGCGAUCGAUGUACACCAGCAUGCGUGUCAUUUGGACCACGGAAUCGAUCUAUUGGUGCAGCAGCAAAAAGCCAGGUCGUCACAAACUGCAAGAACACAGUCCAAGGGUUCAAGAGAUUUCAUGGCCGGGCGUUUUCUGACCCGUACAUCCAGAGUUUGAAAUCCAGCCUGGUUUACGACCUGGCACAGAUGCCUUCGGGCACCACUGGCAUCAAGGUGAUGUACAUGGAGGAGGAGAAGGUGUUCAGCAUUGAGCAGGUCACUGCCAUGCUUCUGACCAAGAUGAAGGAGACAGCUGAGCAUGCACUGAAGAAACCCGUGGCUGACUGCGUUGUCUCUGUCCCCUGCUACUACACGGACGCCGAGAGGAGAUCAGUGGUGGACGCAGCACAGAUCGCUGGACUCAACUGUCUGAGGCUCAUGAAUGAGACAACUGCAGUGGCAUUGGCGUAUGGGAUCUACAAGCAGGACCUCCCUGCUCCAGAGGAAAAGCCCAGGAUUGUGGUGUUUGUAGACAUUGGACACUCUGGAUACCAGACCUCUGUCUGUGCCUUCAACAAAGGCAAGCUGAAGAUCCUUGCGACGGCCUGCGACCCGGAGCUAGGCGGGAAGGACUUUGACGAGAUGCUGGUGAGACACUUCUGUGAGGAGUUUGGGAAGAAGUACAAGCUGGACGUGAAGACCAAGCCCAGGGCUCUGGUCAGGCUCUACCAGGAGUGUGAGAAACUCAAGAAGCUGAUGAGCGCUAACUCCUCAGACCUGCCCCUCAACAUCGAGUGCUUUAUGAACGACAUUGAUGUGUCUGGAAAACUCAACAGGGGUCAAUUUGAGGAGAUGUGUGCUGACGUUCUGGCCAGAGUGGAGGCACCACUGCACAACCUGAUGGAGCAAGCCAAGCUUAAGAAGGAGGACAUCUAUGCGGUGGAAAUAGUGGGCGGGGCCUCCCGUAUCCCGUCUGUCAAAGAGAGGAUCAGCAAGUUCUUUGGGAAGGAGCUGAGCACCACCCUGAAUGCUGAUGAGGCCGUGGCCAGAGGAUGUGCCCUGCAGUGUGCAAUCCUGUCCCCUGCAUUCAAAGUGCGGGAGUUCUCCAUCACAGACGCAGUUGCUUACCCAAUCUCUCUGAAAUGGAACUCUGCUGCAGAGGAAGGCUUGAGCGAUUGCGAGGUAUUCCCAAAGAACCAUGCUGCGCCCUUCUCCAAAGUGUUGACUUUCUACCGGAGGGAGCCUUUCUCUCUGGAAGCCUACUACAACACCCCCAAAGAGCUGCCGUAUCCCGACCCCACCAUAGGUCAGUUUGUGAUCCAGAAGGUGGUGCCCCAGGCGUCUGGGGAGAGCUCCAAGGUCAAGGUGAAGGUGAGGGUCAACAUCCACGGCAUCUUCAGCGUCUCCUCAGCCUCACUGGUGGAGGUCCAGAAGACCGAGGAAGGAGAGGAGCCCAUGGACACAGAACAGCAGGCAACACCAGAGAAAGAGGAAGAGAAAGAGGGCAACAUGCAGACUGACCAGGAUGAGACAAAGGCCCAAGGAGAUGGACAGAAAGAGACAGAAGAGGAGAAGACGCCGCCGGAGAAUGAGGAAAUGGAGACCUCCCCAGAGGAGAGUAAGACAGAGAAGAAGUCUGACCAGCCUCCACAGGCCAAGAAGCCCAAAGUCAAGACAAAAGUCUUGGAGCUUCCCAUCGAGAACAGCCCUCAGUGGGAGCUGGCCGUCGACAUGCUCAACCUCUUUGUAGAAAAUGAGGGUAAAAUGAUCAUGCAGGACAAGCUGGAGAAGGAGAGGAACGACGCUAAAAACUACGUGGAGGAGUAUGUGUACGACAUGAGGGACAAACUUCAUGGCAGGCUGGAGAAAUUCGUCAGUGAAGCUGACCGGGAUAUCCUGUCAUUACAACUGGAGGACACCGAGAACUGGCUGUAUGAAGACGGAGAGGACCAACCUAAACAACAGUACAUCGACAAACUGGCCGUGCUGAAGAAACUGGGCCAGCCUAUCCAGGAGAGGUACAUGGAGUCUGAGGAAAGACCCAGAGCCUUCGAUGACAUGGGGAAACAGAUCCAGAUGUACAUGAAGAUUGUUGAAGCUUAUAAAACCAAGGUACCCCUGCCCUUAUACAGCCAAGGUACCCCUGCCCUUAUACAGCCAAGGUACCCCUGCCCUUAUACAGCCAAGGUUCCCCUGCCCUUAUACAGCCAAGGUUCCCCUGCCCUUAUACAGCCAGGGUUCCCCUGCCCUUAUACAGCCAGGGUUCCCCUGCCCUUAUACAGCCAGGGUUCCCCUGCCCUUAUACAGCCAGGGUUCCCCUGCCCCUUAUACAGCCAGGGUUCCGUUGCCCCUUAUACAGCCAGGGUUCCGUUGCCCCUUAUACAGCCAGGGUUCCGUUGCCCCUUAUACAGCCAGGGUUCCGUUGCCCCUUAUACAGCCAGGGUUCCGUUGCCCCUUAUACAGCCAGGGUUCCCCUGCCCCUUAUACAGCCAGGGUUCCCCUGCCCCAGAGAUCUAGAAGUAACCUGAUACAUUUUGAUCAUAAUGCUCCAUAGAACAACAACAAUCAUUCUAAGCCUUUGCAAAUAUCAGAAGUUGAGAAUGGUUGCAUUUCAGCAAUGACCAAAUGUGUAUUGUAUUAUGCUACUUAAUGGAUAUUAACUUUAUUAUUACUGGACUGCUACAAUGGACGACAUCUUUAUUCUUUGCGUACCCCAGGAGGAGCAGGUACGACUGAGAAAUCGUGGAAAUACUACUAGUAGUAGAAAUGUAGUAUAGUGCAGUCCUUAAUGCUAGAAUGCACCAUUGUCAAACGUCAGAUGGCGUCACUCCGACGCGACCCUCGACCCUCAGUGCGGAAUCGACGCACUAUCUGACGUAAGACAAUGAGAAUACACAAGACUAGUUCUGUUAAAAUGCAGUCCAGUUCACCAAUCGUAUCCUAUUGUUACUUCCUACAGAUACCUUCAUAUUCCAGUGUAGCAAGUAAAAAAAUAUAUAUAUUCACAGCAAUUCCAAAACCAUUUGCAAAUAUAUGUACAUAUACAUGUUGUUACACUUUGUUAUAAAAGACUACAUCUUGGGGUUUGAGGGGGCCGAUAUCAGAAGUUGUGUUUCAGGAAUGACCAAAUGUGUUAUGUAUGUCAGACGGUUCCUUGACUUGUCUUUCCAUCCCCCAGGAAGAGCAGUAUGAUCAUCUGGACCAGGAAGAGAUCAACAAGGUGGAUAAGAUGGUGAAUGAUGCCAUGAUCUGGAUGAACAGCAAGAUGAACCAGCAGAGUAAACUGAGCUUGACUGUGGAGCCUGCUGUUAAAGUCAGAGAGAUACAGGACAAGACUAAGGAGCUGUACUCCACCUGCAACCCCAUCGUGACCAAGCCCAAGCCCAAGGUGGAGCUGCCUAAGGAAGACAAGGCAGGGGAGCAGAAUGGACCAGUCAACGGCCAGGAGAAAGCCCCAGCAGAGGGCACCGAGAAGGGGGCCGCCGACAGCACAGGCAACCCUCCCUCCACGGAAUCCACCAACCCUAGACCUGACAUGGACCUUGACUAAGCAGACGGACAAGCAGCAACCAGUGUCUCCUCUACCAGGGGCUGUGUCUUCAUUUGAGAGUAGUCUCCUUCCCAUGUUUCCUUGUCGCCUUCCCCUUUCAGAUCUGAUAGGACUAGAUAGAUGAGUUCAACAAAAGCAAAACAAAACUCUACCUGCAUGGUCUACCAAAAGGCAUGCUGGAUAUAUUAACUACAGUACUGUAGCACAUUGCUCACGUCUUAUCUAGCUUGUCAGAUCUGUUGCGGUCAGGAAGGAAUUAACCAAGGCAGCGAGGGAAGGAGGCAAAGGCAGGAAUGAGACGCUGCACAGAUGUACCAGAGCUGCUAGUGAAGUGUAAACUCCUUGCUUGUCUCAAAUGGCAUCCUAUUCACUCUAUAGUGCACAACUUUUGGCCAGAGACCCUAUAUGGCCCUGAUUUAAAAAAUAGUGUACUAUAUAGGGAAUUGGUGCCAUGAUGUUGCCAUUCACAUCCACUUGUCAAUGCAGGCAGCAUUCUGUAAUUUCGGCACAUUGACCCCAGUACCUGAUGAUGGUGUAUUUCUGCAGCCAAUAGCAUGUCCAUUCUUUUUUGUUUUGCUGAAAUAAAAUUGAAAGAACCAACUGCAAUAAGCCUGUUUGACGAUGAGCGCUGUAUCAUGGUAUUUAUUUCUGUUUUGUGCUCUCUAUAACUGUUCCGGGUCAUUGUCACAAUUUAAGUUUUAAUAAAGUUAUUGAAAACCGCU
Oncorhynchus kisutch (coho salmon) is the source of this 4665-nucleotide RNA transcript. It is a transcript of the gene named heat shock protein 4b, with no coding region annotated. The transcript has 18 exons. Lineage: Eukaryota; Metazoa; Chordata; Actinopteri; Salmoniformes; Salmonidae. The record is from RefSeq and is a predicted model, not a curated record.